UAUUCUGCCCCACGGGGAAGGAUGAGAAGCUUCGACUAAGGUUCGACUCGAGCGAAGCGAGAGAACGUUGCCGCAGGCAAUGGCCCGAAGGCGAGGCGCUUUAGCGCCGAGUAAUCCUUCCCCCACCACUG
Molecule: small RNA, 131 nt
Filed under: Klebsiella pneumoniae
Lineage: Bacteria; Pseudomonadati; Pseudomonadota; Gammaproteobacteria; Enterobacterales; Enterobacteriaceae
Also listed under: 2 other names
Description: RtT sRNA
Rfam family: RtT RNA
About the family: This family represents a bacterial cis-regulatory element known as RtT RNA. The exact function of RtT is unknown although it is thought that it may be involved in changing the cellular response in relation to amino acid starvation.
Source: RNAcentral